RNAcentral lists this small nuclear RNA (24 nucleotides) under Arabidopsis thaliana (thale cress). RNAcentral describes it as "snRNA_11808". Lineage: Eukaryota; Viridiplantae; Streptophyta; Magnoliopsida; Brassicales; Brassicaceae. The record is from RNAcentral.
GACACUACAAGAAGAUAAGCUCUU